AGAAUCAACGCUGGCGGCGUGCCUAACACAUGCAAGUCGAACGCGAAAGUGGAGCAAUCCAUUAGUAGAGUGGCAAACGGGUGAGUAACACGUGGGCGACCUACCUCAGAGUGGGGGAUAACCUUCCGAAAGGAGGGCUAAUACCGCAUGACAUCCCGUGUUUGGAUACACGGAGAUCAAAGCCGGGGAUCGUAAGACCUGGCGCUUGGAGAGGGGCCCGCGUCCGAUUAGCUAGUUGGUGAGGUAACGGCUCACCAAGGCUCCGAUCGGUA
RNAcentral lists this ribosomal RNA (272 nucleotides) under uncultured soil bacterium. Its description in RNAcentral is "partial 16S ribosomal RNA". It matches the Rfam family "Bacterial small subunit ribosomal RNA", at positions 26 to 285 of the family's 1533-position model. The record is from RNAcentral.